UACGUAGGUGGCAAGCGUUGUCCGGAAUUAUUGGGUUUAAAGGGUGCGUAGGCGGCCUAUUAAGUCAGGGGUGAAAGACGGUAGCUUAACUAUCGCAGUGCCCUUGAUACUGAUGGGCUUGAAUGUACUUGAGGUAGGCGGAAUGUGACAAGUAGCGGUGAAAUGCAUAGAUAUGUCACAGAACACCAAUUGCGAAGGCAGCUUACUAAAGUAUGAUUGACGCUGAGGCACGAAAGCGUGGGGAUCAAACAGG
Molecule: ribosomal RNA, 253 nt
Filed under: uncultured bacterium
Lineage: Bacteria
Description: partial 16S ribosomal RNA
Rfam family: Bacterial small subunit ribosomal RNA
Source: RNAcentral